GGUGUAGCUCAGUGGUAGAGCACCUGGUUAGCAAGCACAAGGCCUGGGUUCAAUCCCCAGCACC
This 64-nucleotide transfer RNA is filed under the name Ictidomys tridecemlineatus (thirteen-lined ground squirrel). RNAcentral's name for it is "Spermophilus tridecemlineatus (thirteen-lined ground squirrel) tRNA". It matches the Rfam family "tRNA". From Rfam's summary of the family: Transfer RNA (tRNA) molecules are approximately 80 nucleotides in length. Lineage: Eukaryota; Metazoa; Chordata; Mammalia; Rodentia; Sciuridae. The record is from Rfam by way of RNAcentral. RNAcentral also lists the same sequence under 1 other name.